GGUGGUAUAUAGGCCGGAGACGGAUACUCGGGUGUGCGCAAGGGGGAGAUCCUUGGAUUUGAGGCUCUGUUUGAAGGGGAAAGAUGGGAAGGUGCUUGGUGUCGGAACUGGAUUCUAGGCUUGGCGUCGGAACUGCACCAUUAAAUCCAUUAGAUCCUUGGAUUUAAUGGUGCAGCUGAUCCAAUCUGUUACAAAUGCAACAAAUGGC
RNAcentral lists this long non-coding RNA (208 nucleotides) under Musa acuminata (dwarf banana). RNAcentral's name for it is "long non-coding RNA (MACU_LNC001966)". The record is from RNAcentral. Lineage: Eukaryota; Viridiplantae; Streptophyta; Magnoliopsida; Zingiberales; Musaceae.